GCGACACCGCGUGAAGGAUGAAACCAUUUUUUGGCGUAAACUUCUGUUYUGAGGGACGAAAUUUUUGACGGUACCUCAGGAGAAAGCMCCGGCUAAUUCCGUGCCAGCAGCCGCGGUAAGACGGAAGGUGCAAGCGUUACUCGGAAUCACUGGGCGUAAAGCGUCCGCAGGUCUUCUCCCACGUCUGGCGUAAAAGCACAGAGCUCAACUCUGUGUACGUGCUGGAAACGAGGAGAAUUGAGUCACUCAGAGGCAUCUGGAAUAUCGUGUGUAGGGGUAAAAUCCGUAGAUCCACGAUAGAACGCCAAAAGCGAAGGCAGGAUGCUGGGGGUGUACUGACACUCAUGGACGAAAGCGUGGGGAGCGAACGGGAUUAGAUACCCCGGUAGUCCACGCCCUAAACGAUGCGUGCUCGGCGUUGGGAUUUUCAAUCGAUCUCAGUGUCUUAGCAAACGCGGUAAGCACGCCGCCUGGGUAGUACGACCGCAAGGUUAAAACUCAAAGGAAUAGACGGGGACCCACACAAGCGGUGGAGCAUGGGGUUUAAUUCGAUGAUAAGCGGAGAACCUCACCCAGGCUUGACAUCUUAGGAAUCCGCCAGAAAUGGCGGAGUGCCGCAAGGACCCUAAAGACAGGCGCUGCACGGUCGUCGUCAGCUCGUGCCUUGAGGUGUACUGUUAAGUCAGCGAACGAGCGCAACCCUCGUCCUAUGUUGUUUUU
RNAcentral lists this ribosomal RNA (720 nucleotides) under uncultured bacterium. Its description in RNAcentral is "bacterial SSU rRNA". It matches the Rfam family "Bacterial small subunit ribosomal RNA", at positions 391 to 1122 of the family's 1533-position model. The record is from RNAcentral.